GUUCUGAUAGCUCAGUUGGUAGACCAUGAGAUUCAUAAUCUCAGCACUGUGGGUUCUAGCCCCAUGUUGGGUG
Molecule: non-coding RNA, 73 nt
Organism: Podarcis lilfordi (Lilford's wall lizard)
Lineage: Eukaryota; Metazoa; Chordata; Lepidosauria; Squamata; Lacertidae
Source: the annotation of a GenBank genome assembly